AGAGUUUGAUCCUGGCUCAGGAUGAACGCUGGCGGCGUGCCUAAUACAUGCAAGUCGAGCGAACAGACGAGGAGCUUGCUCCUCUGACGUUAGCGGCGGACGGGUGAGUAACACGUGGAUAACCUACCUAUAAGACUGGGAUAACUUCGGGAAACCGGAGCUAAUACCGGAUAAUAUAUUGAACCGCAUGGUUCAAUAGUGAAAGACGGUUUUGCUGUCACUUAUAGAUGGAUCCGCGCCGCAUUAGCUAGUUGGUAAGGUAACGGCUUACCAAGGCAACGAUGCGUAGCCGACCUGAGAGGGUGAUCGGCCACACUGGAACUGAGACACGGUCCAGACUCCUACGGGAGGCAGCAGUAGGGAAUCUUCCGCAAUGGGCGAAAGCCUGACGGAGCAACGCCGCGUGAGUGAUGAAGGUCUUCGGAUCGUAAAACUCUGUUAUUAGGGAAGAACAAAUGUGUAAGUAACUAUGCACGUCUUGACGGUACCUAAUCAGAAAGCCACGGCUAACUACGUGCCAGCAGCCGCGGUAAU
Molecule: ribosomal RNA, 534 nt
Filed under: uncultured bacterium
Lineage: Bacteria
Also listed under: 1 other name
Description: bacterial SSU rRNA
Rfam family: Bacterial small subunit ribosomal RNA
Source: RNAcentral